RNAcentral lists this ribosomal RNA (265 nucleotides) under uncultured bacterium. RNAcentral's name for it is "partial 16S ribosomal RNA". It matches the Rfam family "Bacterial small subunit ribosomal RNA", at positions 526 to 779 of the family's 1533-position model. The record is from RNAcentral.
CGAAGGGGCGUAGCGUUGCUCGGAAUCACUGGGCGUAAAGGGACGCGUAGGCGGCCAUUCAAGUCGGGGGGUGGAAAGCCUGUGGCUCAACCACAGAAUUGCCUUCGAUACUUGUUUGGUCUUGUAGUUUGGUUAGGAGGUUGGUGGAACUGCGAGUGUAGAGGUGAAAUUCGUAGAUAUUCGCAAGAACACCAGUGGCGAAGGCGGCCAACUGGACCAACACUGACGCUGAGGCGCGAAAGACGUGGGGGAGGCAAACAGGAUU